Molecule: transfer RNA, 65 nt
Filed under: Tuxedo elongatus
Lineage: Eukaryota; Metazoa; Arthropoda; Insecta; Hemiptera; Miridae
Description: tRNA-Asn
Source: RNAcentral
UUAGUUGAAGCCAAAGAGAGGCCUUUCAUUGUUAAUGAAAAAACUGAAUUUAUAUUCCAACUAAA